Molecule: long non-coding RNA, 195 nt
Organism: Carassius auratus (goldfish)
Lineage: Eukaryota; Metazoa; Chordata; Actinopteri; Cypriniformes; Cyprinidae
Exons: 3
Source: RefSeq, a predicted model, not a curated record
AUAAGGAGAUGGUGGUGUGCUCUCCUACUUGAAGACUCAGCGACUCCUUCAGAACGGAAAAGGUGCCGCAAAGAUGUAGGCUCAGUUCAGUUCAAGGCAUGUCAAGGCAUUGUUGAAUGCUCGGAGUCUCCUUCAGAACGGAAAAACUGCCGAAAAGAUGUAGGCUCAGCGCAGUUGCAGGCACAUCAAUAUAAC